AAUUAUUCUCUCGCAGUUCAAACGUGAUUAAAAUCACUUAAAAAAUCACUUUUUUUUUUUUUUUUUUUUUUUUCACGAGCUGGAGGUGAAAAUGAGGAGUAUUAGCAUAAGAAAAAGUAAGAAAAUGAGAAUUAAAUGAGCAUCCAAAAUUUAAGUAGUGAAACUAGAUUUGCACCGAGUGAACGUGCUGUAAAAGCUGUGAUGUUCUGGAUCAGUCGGUGCUGCCAGGUGAGGGCAAACAGAAGCUCGCCAUGGCCCCCCGACUCCGAUGGAUGGAGAUUUCAGCCAGGACAUCUGCACAUGUAGACCCUGGGAAGUCAAAACUCUGCACCAAGCGCUUCCUUGUGAAGACUGCAAACCUUUGAGCCAGCGUUUGCCAUUCAGCCCUUGCCAGAGUGCUUUCUGACUGGAGAGGGGUCCCGGAGAAGAGUACCGUGCUCUAGCUUUGUUGGGCAGCUUUCAACAGGAAUUUUAGAAGCAGCAGAGAAUGCGUUUCACAUCCUGUGUGAUGGCAUUAAAAAAUCUGUGAGAAACGCCAGCACCUUUGCAUCACUUAGUUUUUAAUACUACAUACCUAUCUUAAAAUAUUAGAAGGCCACUUCUGGCUUGGGUAUAAUUAUCCAGACUGUCAAAUGUCCUUAUUCUGAGUAAGUACAGCGGAAUGCGGAAACGUGGAAGCGAUGCAGAGGAAGGCACAUCCCCGGAUCUCUUGGAGAGUAUUGAAAGCAGAGAGCACUGCAUCCUGUGCUGCUGGUGAAAGAUGUGUUUUGCUUGUUGUUAUUAAUACUUUGGUAAUUGCAUACCCAAGGGAGCAGUGGUUUAAAUUAUUGUGAAAGCUGCCAUUGAGUGGCCUGGUUAUUUAAAAAGAAAAACACUGGUUUGUCUCUGUGCCUCCUGCACAGACUAUUAUGUAGGAAAACAUAGUUGUAUUUCUGGUUUUUAACUUGUCCUAGUAAACAGUGCUUCUGCUUCCUCCUGCUGUGUAUGUGGGGCAAUGGGCAAAGUGUAACAGAUAAUAUCCACUUCCAGAGAACAAAUUAAUUAUUAUGUUUUGUUAUUUGUUCCAUUUAAUGAAGCUCACUGAUUAAAAAACAAAACAAAACAAAACAAAAAAACACAACAACAACACCAAACUACUCCUACCAACUAGAGGGCCAUUUGUAACAUCUUUCAAGUAACUAUGUGUGUAUACUGAUAACCUGAUUUUUUUGCUCAACUGUUUUUUUCCUUUAAUAGAGUGAUCUAUCCUUACUAUUUUUAUAUGCAAUCACUGAGUGUAGGUUCUUUUUAUGCCAUUACACUAACUCCACUAUUUUUACUGGGCUGAUUUUUGGCUUAAUUGGUACAAAAGAAGAAUCAAACCUUUCUGUUCCUCAAGAUUUCAUUCACAGUAAAGGAUGUCAGGGGAGCAAACCAAAUGACAGACUCAUUACCAUGUGCCAUGUUACCACAACAAAAAAACCACAAGCCUUGCAGCCGCUUGGCAAAGCACGUAUGCAUUCCCCCUUGCUAUUGUCAGCCUAGAAAUGAUACUGUAUAUUACUGUACUCAUGCUAAAUGUUUCAUUACUAUUCCAACUCCUAAAAACAGUCUCAAAGAAAUUUGUGAUUAGCUAUAUGGUCUGAUCCAUAUUGUCUGGAUCCAUAUGUAGGAGGAUCUGGAUCAAACACUGAGACUGGCAUAUCCAAAUUUACAUCACUCUUUUUGUCUUCAGAUUGACUGCAAACUUGACAUUAACCAAAUCCUGUGUAAUGUUGACCAAGUGAGUAUGGCACACUGUUUAAAAAAUCAUCUCCAAGACAAGUUUGUACAGUUUAUUUUCUGCCGUAUUUCUACAUGAAUGUAAAUAACACAUUUGCUUUCUUACACUAAAGAUAACGCAUCUGCUUUGGUUUUAUGAUGAAUAUCCCCUGUCAUAUCUUCUCGGCUAGUAUGAAUUAGCUCCCUAGAAAUCAAGUAACUCCUGUAUUCAGGAGAACUCAUGAUCAUCUGAAAGCUUAACUCUAUGAAUUCUCAGAUGAAAUUCUGGAGACAGACAAAGGAAGUCUCUAAUAAUGGUUAGACUUUUUAUUUAUGGCCAUCUUAUAAUUCCAGAAAUAUUUGUGGAGGCUUGUGAAAUACGAACAUAUGCAGAAUAAAAGAAACAGCAUCACAGCUGUUAAGUGGUAUUUUCCACCCUUAAGUGGUAUUUUCCCAACAUCCAAAGUCAGUCUGCCAUUUCAAUACUGCUUCGGUGUUACUUACAAAAAUGGAAUUCGAUUUCUUAUUUAGAUUAUAAAAUUCUCUUAAACAGUAGUGGUAAUAUGCCUUGAAAACACUGAAGGUGACUGUUUUUGCAGACACCUCUCACUGAGGUGUUUAUUUCCAUUUUCAGGAAUUUGUAAACCUUUGAAUACCCCAAAGUGCUUACGUACACUCUAGAUCUGACCACAGUGACGUUCUUCACAUUAAAAUUAGGUUGUAUAUUCUAUAUGUACUGUAAAGACAUUGGCAAAGGGAGUUGGUACAGAGCAAGCAAGAACUGCGGGUGAUGUUAGUUCAAUUGCUGCUCUGCUGUAAAUAUCUUAUGUAAUCACGAACAAGUCACCAAAGCCCAGGUGCUCAUGUGAUGGGGAGACAGAAAAUAACAAUGACUUCAUUCUGCUUCCUACCUGUAAAACACAGUGAGUAGCAGGGACACUGAGAAUAGGUACGCAAAAGAAAGAGAUACCCAAGUAGUUUGGUGACACAUACAGACCAGAUGCGCAGCUAAAACAGAUGGAUGUAUACCUAGUUUUCUCCAUCAGUAGAGAUACACUUUUAAUCAGUAAAUACACUUUUACCUAAACAAAUUAGUGAAUAUGUAUAUCUGAGUUCUGCCAGAAAUACACUGCUCUCAUUCAUACACAUACUAUUAGUAACAGAUUAUUAGCAAUAUUAAUAAAUAUUACAUUUCUGUUUAUCUUUUAGACAAUGUAAUCAUCGAAUUACAUGAAAUGUCAUGUCAGAUAUUCUCAAGGAAACACGAUUUGAAUACAAACUGCUUAUAACAUUAAGAUUGAAUAACACUGAAGUAUAAACGAAUGCUACAUAAAAUAUUCAAGUUACUUGGUUUCGUCAUCAUAAAAAGGAAAAAUACACCAAGGAAUUAUUAGCAAAGCAGGUUUUUUUUUUAGGUUCUAAAUUAGAAAGUUAUAGCACCUGAAUGUAAUACUUAACUUUGGUUACAGUGGAGUUUAAGAAAUCAAGCACCAAGAAAAUGCAUUGCCAUGAAUUAAUAUAAUAGUAUCAUAGCAGAUAGUUUAAUGUGAGGUUUUCUAGCAGAAGACAACUUUCAUCAUGAGCUACAGUCUUGAAACAAUCCAUGAAAUUUUCAUGAGCUGUAGACAUACGUUAUUUAUUCCCUAUAUCACAUUAAAAAUACUGUACUUCAUUUGCUCAGAAAGCUGUAUUCUACUUAAAUAAAACUACCUUUUUCUCCUAUUCCUUUCCCCACAACAUUAGCACUUUUUAAAGACUGAUCAUUCUUCUUUUGGACUAGUUAUAUGCCAGUUGUGCAUAUCAUUAUUUCUAAUAAAAGUCAUUGCUAUCUCUUAAAA
This is a long non-coding RNA of Cygnus olor (mute swan), 3578 nucleotides long. RefSeq lists it as uncharacterized. The transcript is spliced from 3 exons. The record is from RefSeq and is a predicted model, not a curated record. NCBI's taxonomy places the organism in Eukaryota, Metazoa, Chordata, Aves, Anseriformes, Anatidae.